CCUACGGGAGGCAGCAGUGGGGAAUUUUGGACAAUGGGCGCAAGCCUGAUCCAGCCAUGCCGCGUGUGGGAAGAAGGCCUUCGGGUUGUAAACCACUUUUGUCAGGGAAGAAACGGUCUGAACUAAUACUUUGGACUAAUGACGGUACCUGAAGAAUAAGCACCGGCUAACUACGUGCCAGCAGCCGCGGUAAUACGUAGGGUGCAAGCGUUAAUCGGAAUUACUGGGCGUAAAGCGUGCGCAGGCGGCUUUGCAAGACAGAUGUGAAAUCCCCGGGCUCAACCUGGGAACUGCAUUUGUGACUGCAUGGCUAGAGUACGGUAGAGGGGGAUGGAAUUCCGCGUGUAGCAGUGAAAUGCGUAGAUAUGCGGAGGAACACCGAUGGCGAAGGCAAUCCCCUGGACCUGUACUGACGCUCAUGCACGAAAGCGUGGGGAGCAAACAGGAUUAGAUACCCUGGUAGUCCACGCCCUAAACGAUGUCAACUGGUUGUUGGGAGGGUUUCUUNUCAGUAACGAAGCUAACGCGUGAAGUUGACCGCCUGGGGAGGACGGCGCGAGUUAGAAGUACGAAGUUAGUAAGUUGACGGCGNGAGACGNGCCGACGGACGACGACGAGGGAGGAGG
This 626-nucleotide ribosomal RNA is filed under the name uncultured bacterium. RNAcentral describes it as "bacterial SSU rRNA". The stretch from base 1 to 542 matches the Rfam family "Bacterial small subunit ribosomal RNA", at positions 338 to 873 of the family's 1533-position model. The record is from RNAcentral.